This 301-nucleotide unclassified non-coding RNA is filed under the name Hevea brasiliensis (rubber tree). The record is from RNAcentral. Lineage: Eukaryota; Viridiplantae; Streptophyta; Magnoliopsida; Malpighiales; Euphorbiaceae.
GCAAAGUAAUGGGUCGCCAUUAGAGAACUGUGUCUCACAUGCUUCAUUUUGCCCUAUCAAUUUGCUCUAGCUAACCAAAGCUCAUCAUCCCACUCAUUUACUGGGGCCUAAAUGAGUGGAAAAUGAAUGAAAUCCUAAAUGGGACCUCUCUGUAUUUUAGAAGCAAACAAUACAUAUAAAGCACAGGUGGGCUGGUGGUUGAAACUGAAGUUUAAGGUUUCCCCUUCAAGUACAGGUCUUUCUGGAAGAUGGGAUCAAGCAUGUAGGAUUUUAGAAACAUUAUUUAUGAUGGCUGUUGUUG